CAUUAGGUUAUUGUGGAGAUAAAGUUCUCUCAAGGAUGACAAGUUCCCAAUGGACUCCGGGAUUGAACCCCGGAACAAGUUUCCCCACAGUUGAAGAAUCUUGAGGUUUUCCAAUUGUCCGAGAGAAUUGGGAAGGAAUCCACCCAGGUUAUUUUGCCCCAAAUCCAGUGACUCCAAGCUACUGUUGGCACAUUUAGACAAACGAUCUACGAAUUCAAUUAUCUCACCAUCCAAGUCAUUACCAGAAAGAUCAAGAUCCCACAAGUUGCAGAGACUUCCCAAAUCUUUCGGUAUCUGACCCCCAAUAAGUGAGUUCUCAGACAAAUCAAGCUCGCGGAGGCUAGUCAUAUUGGCAAAUGCAUCUGGAAUAUUGCCUUGGAGAUUGUUUGCGCUGAGAUCAAGAUGUGCAAGCUUACUAAUGUUGAGCAACCACUGGGGUAUUGAUGAAUUGAAAUCAUUGCUGGAGAGAUCAAGAAAUAAGAGGGAAGAAAAGUUGACCACUGAAAGGGGAGGGAAUUCGAAUAACCCGCAAGCUGGUAGGUGCAACUCAGAAAGAGAAGGAAGCAUAUUAGUGGCUUGAACCCAACUGCUUCCAGCCUUGCUGAGAUCCACACCUUCCAAAUUAAGGUAUUGUAAAGAGGAAAGCCUGCUGAGCCACUCCACGUCAUCACUUUCUAGCGACGAAUAGUAAAAUGUGUUGAGAUCAAGAAUCUGCAAGCUCGAAAGAUUCCCAAAACUCGGAGGAAUAUUUCCAGCAAAGGAUGCACCAGAGAGAUUGAGAUACCUCAGCUUCUCUAGUGAACCGAGAAAGUUUGGAAUUCUACUUCCUCGGAAAUUGUUUAAGCUCAAGUCUAAGUAAUUUAAGUGCUUCAAAUCAAGCACAGAUGGACUGAUCUCACCUUCUAGUUGAUAAGUUGUUCCAUUGUCCGUAAAACUGUCAGGAAUCUCGGGACUCCGUAGUUUGAGCUGAACAACUUUUCCUGUGCUGUUGUCACAGAUUACACCUUCCCAUUUGCAGCAGUCUUCUCCAGUCCACGAAGAGAGUCGACCUGAGGGAUCUGUUACGCUCGCUUUGAUCUUCAGAAGCGCUUCUUUCUCAUUCUGCACGCAACGAGCAAUACUCUGGCAAGUGCUGAGCCUGACGGAGUUGAAAAACAAGAAUCCUGAGAGAAGAACGAGAAAGACGGGCUGAAUGUAUUGGUUGUUUGCCAUGUUUGUUGCCAUGUAUUGGUUUUUUGUUGAAGCAGCGUUUGUAUUUAUUUGUCCAUGGCAGCUUGACUUUCAUGACUGUUUUGAAAAAGGUUGACUUUCAUAACAAAUAUGGGUUGGAUCUAUUCUGAUUUAAAUUCAGAUCUAUAAUAAAAAUUAAGAUCUAUAUUUACUCCAGAUCAUUGAAUAUUUAGAUUUAAAAAAGAAAUAAAUAUCUGUAUAUGCUCAAACAAAAAAAAAUUAAAAUCUAAAUUUACUUCAUAUACAUCAUGAAUUCUAAAACUUAACAAUAAAAGAGUAAUAAUUUUUUUAAAUGAAAAUUAAUGACUAAAAUGUAAUGAUAACAAUUAAAUUAUAUAAUUUGUUUCAAAAAUAUAAUAAAUAUUGUAGUUUAUACUUUUACACCAAAUCACGCAAAUAACAAAGAUAAUAAAAUAUCUUUCAAAAGUGAUUGAAGUAAUAAGAUCAAUCUAAUAUUUUACUGUUGGUGAGGAACAUUAUGAAACGGCGCAAAGAGUUAAGCAAACUUUACAACGUUACAAAGAACUUCAGGACAUUAUAGCUAUCCUUGGGUUGGACGAACUCUCCGAAGAGGAUCGUUUAACUGUAGUAAGGGCGCGAAAAAUUGGGUGUUUCUUAUCCCAACCCUUUUUCGUAGGCGAAGUUUUUACCCGUUCCUCGGGGAAAUAUGUUGGUCUAGCCGAAAUCCUGCAAAAAAGAAUAGAAGACAUGCUUACCGCAGUCCAGCCAUACGAAAAGAAGAGAAGAGCCAAGAUUGUACAUCAACUUACCGAACGAUUGAAUCGUUAUCUGAGAUUUAUGAGGAAGAAGCGGGAGGCCUACUAUCUCCUUCAUCAUUCUGAUAUCAACUACACACCCACCAUCAUUCCAACAAGAUAGAUAAUGACAUAUAAAUUAAAUAUGAUUUAUAUUCAAUGCUUUAUUUUUUUUAUUAUGAACAUAUUUAACUACAUAUAUGAAUAACUAUAUUCCUUAAAAAUUAUUUGGCCAAUAUAAUAAAAUAAAUUGCCAUGCAUUAUUACUUGACUUGCAAUUGGAAUAUUGCAUGUGCAUGCUUUAGGGCUAGUUGACUUUAAUUAUUUUUGUCUUAUUAUUAUUAUUAUUUAAAUUUACAAAACUAACCUUUAAGUUUUAAAAUUUUAAAUACAUAGUAAAUACCAUUAAUAAGUCUAAUAUGCUAUGCAUGAAAUUUAUUAUCAUUUAUAAUUACACAAUUCUUAAGAAGUUUUUAAAAUAAAAUAAAAUUAAAAGAUAGGUGUAUAUGGAUAUGAAUCUAGAUAUUAAAAUAGAUCCAGACUAGCUCCAAAUCUGUCUUAGAUCCACACAUUGAUAUUCAAAUUCGAUCCAAAUCCAUUCUAAACUGACCCAAAUCUAAUCUGAUUGGAAUUAGAUCACGUGGAUCUUGAGUCAAAUCUGAUUCAUUGUCAUCCCUAAUUCUAUAAAGAGUGAUGAUACAGUCACAAACUCUUGUACAAACUAAUGUGGCAUUAAUUCAUUAGUUGAAUGAAAAUAUAAAAUAAUAGAAAUAAAUCAUGUGGGCCAAAAGAUAUUUAAUUCAACCAAUUUUAUCAUGCCACAUCAGUUUGUACAAAAUAAGUUUGUAUAAGAGUUUAUGGCUAUACAGACAUUUAUAUUAGAAAAGAAGCGUAAAUUCUCGUUUAGUCCCUAUAUCUUAAUUUAAGGGUCUGUUUAUUCUCUAUAUUUCAAAAAAUAUCUCAAGACACCCUUAUUGUAAAGUAUGUUACACUCCCACCCUCACUUUGCUUUCCUUUUAUAAAAACAUGCUUACAAAAUUCUUGCCUUCUCGAGAAUAUUAAUGAAGAGAAUAAAUGUUAAUUUAUCAAAUUAACAAUAAAGCUAACAUAAAACUUUUCAUGUUAUUAUUAUACUUUUAAGAUUAAUUUGUUAAAUUAAUUUUUUAUACAAUAACUAUUAAUAAAAUUGUUGCAAGAAUAUUAUAUAUUGUUUUAAGUUAGUUGAUAUUAGCUUUUACUAUAAAUAAAUUAUUAGCAAGACUAUUGUAUGGAUACAAAAAAUAUUAAUUCUUUCAUACUGAUAUUUAUUGGCUAAUUUAUUAAUAAAUAAUUUUUGUUUAAUUUUCUAAUUAAAUUUUAUAGAUAAAUUAGUUAAUGUGAAUAAUAUUAUUACAAGGCUUUUAUUAUAUAAGUAAAAGCAAGUGUAAGAAUGUAAUAUAUUUAAUUACAAGGGUAUUAGAAGUAUUUUUUUAAAUCUAGAGACUAAAUAGGUAUUUAAGUCAAAAUAUAAAUAUUCAACCAGUAUUUACCUAACUUAAAAGUAUUGCAAUUGUAACAUUAGUCUUUUGAGGCAAAUUGGAGUCCUAUGAUUCUAUGAAUAAUGAUAGUAUGCACUUUAGACUAUCGUAAUUUAAAAGUUCUACUUGCCAAAAAUUUUAGUCAAUAAAUUGUUUGAGUUUAUUGGAAAUCCUGGACUAGGGAUGGCAAUAGAUUGGAUCUAACCUAAGAUCCAUGUGAUCCAAAAUUCAAUCCGAUUGGAUUUGGGUCGAUUUAAAAUGUAUUUUGAUCGAAUUUAGAUAUCGAACUGUGGAUCUAAGAUGGAUCUGGAGCAUGUCUGGAUCUAUUUUAAUAUUUAGAUUUAUAUCCAUAUUCACCUAUCUUUUAAUUUUAUUUUAAAAAUUUCUUAACAAUUGUGUAAUCAUAAAUGAUAAUAAAUUUCAUUCAUAUUAUAUUAGACUUAUUAGUGGUAUUUACCAUGUAUUUAAAAUCUUAAAACUUAAAUGUUAGUUUUGUAAAUUUAAAUGAUAAUAAGACAAAAAUAAUUAAGGUCAACUAGUCCUAAAGCAUGCACAUGCAAUAUUUCAAUUGCAAGUCAAGUAAUAAUGCAUGGCAAUUUAUUUUAUUAUAUUGGCCAAAUAAUUUUUAAGGAAUAUAGUUAUUCAUAUAUUUAGUUAAAUAUGGUCAUAAUAAUAAAAAAAAGCAUUGAAUAUAAAUUAUAUUUAAUUUAUAUGUCAUUAUCUAUUUUGUUGGAAUGAUGGUGGGUCAGAAUGAUGAAGGAGAUAGUAAAAUAUAUUAGAUUGAUUUAUUCCUUUAAUCACUUUUGAAGGAUAUUUUAUUAUCUUUGUUAUUUACGUGUUUUUGUGUAUAAGUAUAAACUAUAACAUUUGUUAUAUUUUUGAGACAAAUUAUGUAACUUAAUUGUUAUCAAUACAUUUUAGUCUUUAAUUUUCAUUUUAAAAAGUUGUUACUCUUUUAUUGUUAAGUUUUAUAAUUCAUGAUGGAUAUAGAGAAGAUUUGAUUUUUUUUUUUUUUUGGAUUUAGAGCAGAUAUAGAUAUUUAUUUCUUGUUUGGAUCUGGAUGAGUGAAAAAUGCAAAUCUAUGAUAGAUCUGGAGUAGAUACGGAUCUGAAUCUGGAGUAGAGUAGAUCCAACCUAUAUUUACCCCAUUGCCAUCCCUAUAUAGAAUACGGACGCACCAUUUACAACUUUACAAUUAGGGAUGGCAAAAAUCCCCACGGGGACGGGUAUCCUCGGGGAUUUUCCCAAUUCGGGGAGGGUAUGAGGAUAAUUUCAUACCCAAUUUCUUAUUCGGGGAGGGGACGGGGAUGAGGUGGAAUCCCCAUCCCCUACCCAUUUCCCCAUUUUAAUUUUUAAUUUAAUUUUAAUUUUUUAAAAUUACUAGUAAAUAAAUAAUAAAAUUUAAAUUAUAAAAUUAUAAAUAUUGGUAAAAAUAAAAAAUAUCAAAAUAUUUAUAUUAUUAAACUUUUAGGUCUAAUUAACUAAUUAAAGUCCUAAAUUUUUAUUUAGGACAUUAAAAAGAUCGAGUAGAUUCUAUUAGCCAAAUAUUUUUUUAAAUUUUAAUAUUCUUUAAAUAUUUUAAAUUUAAAUAUAUUUUUUAUUUAUUUUUAGAUGUUAUAAUUGCCCACAGCGAAUCACAAUUUUAAUAUCUAAUCUAAUCUAAUAUUUGCUUUUGAUUUGCUCCGAUUUAACUAUUGUGUUGUAAAGGGAAUAGUCCACAUUUAUAAAGUGUCCACGCCACCAUUGAAAAAGUUAAUUUUGAAUCUAAAUUCGAUUUUAUUUGUAAUAAUUUUGUAUUAAACUAUUAAUUUGUUCAUGAUAGUUUGUAAAAGAAGUUUGUAUUCCUUGCAUGUUGCGUUACUUACUAAUUUAAUGUAUUUGACUUUUGUAAUAGAUAUUAAUGUAAGAUAUAUUUCGAAUUUUACUUUUAUUUGAAUUUUUUAUUUUAAUAUGAUUAACUCAAAAUUGAAAGAAAAAUGUAUUAGUUAUUCGGGGAUCGGGGACCCUCGGGGAUCCCCUGUUAUUAUUCGGGGAGGGGAUGAGAAUUCUCUCAAGUAAUUCUGACGGGGACGGGGACAUACGCAAAAUAUCGGGGAUGGGCACGGGGAGAUCGGUCCCCUCCCCUCCCCUCCCCAUUGCCAUCCCUAUUUACAAUGUUGUAAAUGAUUUUUUUUUUUUUUACGCAUUUACAAUGUUGUAAAACGCUUUACAAUACUGAUUUUAUGCCAUAACCGACUUAAAUUUAUUAUUUAAUCAUUAUGACCUCCAUCAAAACAAAAGCUUAAUUUUACCACUUACUAAGAGUACUAAACACUUUCCUAUUAAAGGAGGCCAUGAGAAAAAAAUUUAGGCAAGUCACCAUAUUUUCAUAGUGAGAUUUCCAAAUUUAAAUUUGACGAGCAUGAGACAGUAAUGGUUUUUUUUUUUUUUUUUUUUGGGAUAAGAUGAGAAAAUAAUGGUUGGACUCCCAACUUGCAAUUCAAAUUGAAUUGGACGGUCCCAUUCCUCUCUCGGCACUUGUCAAAGUUAACUCGAUCAGUUUAACGUAAGUUUUCCUCAACAUAUUUGUUUGUAUAGUCAACUGUACAUUGCCCAAUUACGAGAGAGAGAGAAAGGAUUUCUCUUUAUGUGACAACAGAUGUCUAAGUGUUUUUGCUACUAGUUUGAUAAUUCAUGGAUUCAGAAGUGCCAAUAAGUAGUAUAACUAUAUACUAUAUCAAGAAAAAUUAUUGUAUAGCUGGAAUUUUAUUUGUGAGCGACACUCAUUUAUUAUCUUUGACUUGAAUUGAUCUUUUUUCAACUUUGACUCGACUACAAAAUAUUGAUUACUUUUAUACUUAAAACGUAUUUACUUAUAAUGUAACCUGGCGGAUCGAUGUCAAACAUACAGAAAAUCUAAAAAUCUAUUAGUCAGUUAUUAAAUAAAAAUUAAUUGUUGAAAGUGAAAUUAAUAAGGAACAAUCUAAAAAAGUGCUAAGAUUACGGGAUCCACUCUCAAUUUUCAAAUUAUGAUUAUAAUACUCUAUUAUAUUUAUAUUUUGUAUUUUUUUUACUAAUUAAUUAUUAUGCCAUUUAAUGCUUAACUAACUAUUUGUAUAGAUAAAUAUGAGAUUGUGUACAUAAUGUGCCAGAGUUAUCCUGAAGUGUCAAAAUACCAUAUAGAUUCAAAGGAGAAUUAUAUUUGUAAAUUAACAUGACACAAAAGUAAUUGGCAAAAAGGAAUAUAAAUUAUCAACAUGUAAUAAAUAAAAUAAACUUAAAACAUACUUGAGGGGGUAAUUUAUUCUAUGAUCUAAAUUUUUGAGGUUCACCUUUAAGCUUAUCUUAGAAAAUUAACCACUCAUGUUUUGAAGCAAAAAUACUCAUUUAUUUUAAUAAAUUUGUAAAGUACAAUACAAGAAAAUUGAAAAUAAAAGGAAAAGAUAAGAGAUUUAUUUUCCCUAAAAUUAUAAUUAGUAUGCAUUAAUAUAAUAUAUUCUAAGUAUGCUGCCGUAAUCAUACCCCGAGGCUUGGUCAGCAUGAACUCUGUAAAAUAUACCCCAAUGUGUAUGUGAUUCAGUCAGAGGAUUCCAGGUAUAUCUUCUUAUGUGUUUGUAUUAUUGAUUUUCUUUUUACUUUACUUUCCGGAUUUAAUUCUGUAAUGAAACAGAAAUAUGGAUUACUACCUUUGCUUGUUAAUGCUUAGCAGAGAAUAUUUUCUGUACGCCAAGCCAGUGCCUAUGAAAGGGCAUCAUCACUGGCUUAAGAUAAUAAUUGUGAUCUCAAAGUUUCUCUAUUUGCCUUGUAGUAUGAUAUGGAGUUCGUUUACUGCUUACUCUUUUUAGCUAUCUAAGGUUCUUAUUUUUUGUUGAAGGGGUGAAGCUCAAAUCUGGAUUUGGGAAUGUAUAUGAUGUGUCAGGUGCUUGAGGAAGAGAGUAACGACUUUGUCAGUCGUUGUAAUUCAGAGGAGCUGUAUGACAGAGCUGCUAUGUCGGCUGGUUGAAUUAGUAACACACGUGGUUCAUCACGUGUUUCACUGAUCCAAACGACAGCCGCAUCUGCGUUUUAAGUAGCAGGUUAUACGAGCAUUUGACAAGUGUCCUUGAGCAGUUCAAGAAGCUGUUAAUUCAGUUAAUUCACGCGGGAUGCAGCUGGGGUUGCUUAGCUGGGAAACCCAGAAGCGUGAGCUGAUUGCUUGGGGUAUUUCUAGAUGAUUCUGAUUGAGAUAUAAAAGGCCCUAUGAUCUGUUACUGGGGGAAUCUGUUGGGUUACACUUACUCUUCAUCUUUGUAACUUGUAAUCUCUGAAAUCAGUGAAGGCUUGCUUCUCUUUUCACAGUGGAUGUAGGCAAGAAAAUGGCCGAACCACUAUAAAUCUUGGUGCAGUGCGUGUGAUCUGUUUUCUGUCUUUUCUGCUUUUGCUUUCGGUUUGUGAUGGAUUCCAGUUAUCAAGACAAAUUUCUUCUCAAACUCAGUAUAGUGUCAAACCUAGUUAAAGAUCAAGUCUCUUAGAGUGGAUCUUGGGGGUUCCAAAUUGAUCUUGGUAGUUAAUUUGGUUCCAACAUUUUUCUUAGUUUAUUCUCAAGUGGGAGAACCGUGUUUCAGACAAGAGGUAUUCAUACAAUGAUUUGAGACCGGGGAAUAUCGAAGCAUGAUUUUGUAUUUUAUUAAGAUCGACUUAAUUACUCGGCUGGUAAAUUCUGUCUCCAUUGCUUAGCUGAAAUUCAUUACUAUAUGCGCGCGCAUGUGCUUGUUUGUGUUGAGAUCAGGGUUCAGACAUGCUGAAAAAUGUUAUUGUUUCCUUUAUUUUGACUUUUAGGUUUUGGAACAUGGCCUUGGCCAUUUGCCAUUCACUGAGAAGCAAGUAGCCACUCCAAAAGGCGUGCUAGGAAUAAUCAAUAGAAAGGCUUUAGCUCAUUUCUGCUAUUCAGUGCAUUAACUUUGUGAAAAUGCGUGUGCCUCUACUAUUGGCUUGCCAAUGUGUUGAUCUUCUAGAAUUUAGAACUCUCGCUCUCUCCCUCCUGUUUAUUGCUACUUCUGACCAUGCAGUAUUUGUGUUGAUUAACCUGGUAUAUUUGCUUGUUAUCAGUUCAAAUUAUCAAUUGUCUUGUUUCAUCUUACAUUAGUUUGGCCUAAAAUUAAUAACUCUGAAAAAUUUCUGUUAUUUUACAUCAGUGUCGAUGUGUACUGGGGUUGCUUUUUGCAAGAAGCUAUGUAGGGUUUCCAUUGUUCGAAGGUGAGGUCUCAGCCUCUCACUGAGGUUUUGUUUUCUCGGUUAGUUGGAUGGCAUUUAUACUUGAAUUUAGAGUGGUGGUGCCAAUUUCAAUCUUAUGACUCUGACGAAUCCUAAAGUCUGAUCUUCAGCAUCUGAUGCUGGAUGGCAUAGAGCUUUAUAGAGGAAUUUGCUACUGCGCAUUAUAGUUUAGUGGGUUGCCUUUUUUUGUUUUUGUUUUUGUUUUGAUAUAUGCUAAAAUGUUUCUAUUGUGAUGUUAAGUGGCGAAAGCAUGGAAAAUACAUUGCGUGCAUGGUGCAAAGGAAAAAGAAAUGGAAAAAUUCUGAUUCACCGUGAUGGGUACAAUGGCAAACAGGUAACAAUAUAAUUCGUUGUAGAAAAGAUUUUCUAGAAAGAGAGGUUUCCCUUUUUGUUCCUAUAUGAAUAAAUUGAAUUAAUUUUAAUAAUGCAUUAUUGGUUUCAAUAUAAUCAGCUUAUCUAUGAGAAGCUGCCCAAUGAUAUUUCAGAAAGACAAGUCCUGCUUCUAGAUCCUGUUCUUGCCACAGGUAAUCUUGAUGUUCUUUCACACUUUCUAUUUUCUUGGUAUCUGCCAAUAAUUUGCUAUGCUGUAGUCAUAUCUCUUUCCACCUCUUCUGAUAAAGAGGCUCAUUUUUGAAACAGAAGGAAUUCAAGAAAGCGAGAAAUGGAAUGUCAUAAACUAAUUUAUUUGUUGAAAAAUAUUUGAGACUGCUGUUUGAUGACUGGAGGGGCUGAUCCACUCUAUAUUGAAUAAAGCCGUCAUUUUCACGUUUUUUUUCCGAAACAUCAUCAAUUGGUUAGUUAAAAUUGUGCUUUUUAGAAGUUACCUUGAAACUGUAUCUUCUCUUAAAUACUAAUAAUAAAGGAAGGUGAUUGCACACAAGCUAUUGAUUUACCGAUAAAUGAGUCACCUAUCUUUCUGAACCAGAGAUAAAGGGCAAUACGAUGCUCGCGUGCAUUUCUUAACUUUUAGUAGCAUCCUCUGUGCCUGCCGGCUGGAUCAUUGUAUGAUGGACAUUAUUUACCUGGGUUGAUAAUCAAAACCAUUCUUGAUUGCUUUCCUUAUAGGGAACUCUGCCAACCGAGCUAUUCAACUACUCAUAGAGAAAGGAUUUCCAGAAUCCCAAUUUACAUUCCUGAAUCUCAUCUCUGUAAGUGGUUCCCAUAAUUGGUUAUGGUACGUCCUUCAUGUAAUGUACUAAUCUUAUGAUUUAACUUCAGGCUCCAGAGGGAAUCCAAUGUGUAUGCAAACGUUUUCCAUCCCUGAAAAUUGUCACUUCAGAGAUUGAUGUUGCUUAGAAUUAAGAAUUCCUUGUAAUACCCGGUAUGGGAGAGUUUGGCGACUGUUACUUUGGCACUGAUGAUUGAUAUGGUGAAGAUCAAGUAGUGGAGAUUGUUACCUAUUAUCAAAUGGGGUGAUUUCCCCAGAAAUAACAAAAAUCAAUGUUUUGAAAUCCGAGGGAAGCACGUUUCCUGAAACACCAAAAAUAAACAAAGAAGAAAAAAGUCUGAGAGGAGACCACCCCUGCAGUAUAUAAAUCAAUGAUUGUUCUCAUUUUUCUUUUCACUAGUUUUUGUUUGCACAGAUGCAAUAUUCUCCAAUAAUGUGCUACGAUAUGUUGUCUUUUUCAAGUUUCAAUUGGAGCUUUCAUAUUCCAUGAACUGCUUUCCUCAUGUGUUGCCUUGAUGGCAAAUAUUCAAAAAAAGAAGCCAUCAAUCCUCGAAAUGCCAUGAAAAUAAUGGAAAUGAGAAUGCUAAUAGACACGACAUUAGAUAUUAGUACUAUCUGUAGUCUACUACCUCUUGUGAUUCAAUUGUAUUCACAUGGGUGUCCAGAACCCAAUUGUAUCGAUUGAGCCGCAGUGUAUUGUAGCUCAAAUGAAGUCUCAGUGGCAAAAAAAAAAAAAAAAAAAAAAAAAAAAAAAAAAUUACAUGAGUUUGUUUUAUCCUCCUUUUGUGUUCGUUCAGAAGUUAUGAUGAUUAGUAUCUAUGGCCCAACCUGAAAUAGCUGCUUUAUUGCAUUACAAGGGAUGUUUCUUUUAUAUACAGGCAACAUUGAGAACUAAAUAUAAGUGUAGCAAGACAAAGCAUCGAUUAGGUCUAUUCUCUUUGGAAGACGAGCAACAUUAGCCUGUUUUUUAUUUUGUCAACAAAUCCAAAAUAGGAAAGCCGCCAAGACUUUUUCAUCGCUAAAGUUCCGCAAACUCCCCAAAACCCCACUAUAAAACCUACUGCUAUGCUGCUAUAAAACAACAACUUGUCGAAGUCAUCUCCAUCUUCAUCAUCUCCUUCGGUGAAAUCAGAUGUUUCCUUGUCUUUAUUGCACUUGUUGGGUAGUGGAGAUCCACAAAGUGCAGGGUUGCCCACAUAAAUGGAUGGAUCGUUGAGGCUCUGGAAUUGAUUGUUUGAUGGGAUUUCACCAGAAAGAUUGUUGUCUGACAGGUUCAAGUGUGCCAGAAAAGUUGAAAAAGUCAAGUUAGGCGGAAUUGCUCCAGAAAGUUGAUUUUUGGAGAGGUCUAGAGUUUCCAAUCUUCCUAAGCUCCCGAUGCUGUCUGGUAUUUUCCCUGUCAAGUGGUUCAUGGACAAGUUCAAAAUGACAAGUCUUGAAAGAUUUGUCAGAUCAGGUAUCUCCCCUGAUAAGCUGUUGUAACCAAGGUCAAUGCUGUUCACUAGAUAAAGAGUUGACUCAUACCAGUAUUCUGUUCCUUUGGUUGUCACCAAAACAUUCCCCUCAUAUCUUUCAGAGUCCAUAUCCGAUGCCAUACCAGUCAAGUUCCCGAGACACGAGGGAAUUGAUCUGGAUAAAUUAUUAUGUGCAAGGUCCAACAUGUGAAGAGAGGAAAGACUGCAUAGCUGUGAGGGAAUGUCUCCAUAAAAAAUGUUUGAUCGCAGACGUAAAAUCCAUAGAGACGUGCUUUUCCCAAGCCAUGCUGGAAUGUUAUCUGAAAGCUUAUUGUCUCCAAGAUCAAGAGUACGAAUGGUUGUGCAAUUCUGCAAGGUUGAAGGGAUUUCCCCGGACAGACGAUUGUUGCUCAGCAUUAAGAACCUAAGAAACCGCAGAGAACCCAGGGAACUUGGUAUCUCGCCAGAUAAGCUGUUGUUUGACAUGUCCACGGCAUACAAAAAUGGCAAACCAUUCCAAAAUUCCGGAAUAUGUCCCGUCAAAUUGUUGUUGGAGAUUGAAAGAGUGGUAAGAGAACUUAGUCUUCCAAUGGACAAAGGAACGGUACCAUUAAGGAGGUUGUGGGAGAUAUCCAUAUCUGUUAACAGGGGCAUCCUUUCACCAAUAUCUGAAGGAAUUGGUCCUGAAAAAGAAUUGUUGCUCAAAUAUAGGGAACUCACAUUGGAAGACCACAGCGGAAAAGGACCCGAAAAUAGGUUCCAGUUUAAGUAAACAUUAGACUGAGGAAGAAACUUCAAGGAAUUUGGAACUCUGCCACUUAUCUGAUUAUAACCGAGAUCAAGCUCAUACAAUGAUAAAUCCAACUGCCAAAACCAUUCUGGUAUGGUGUCUGAAAUUUGAGUAUUUCUGAGUACGAAAGUUUGCAGCUUAUUCUGGUUUCUCAGCCAAGCAGGGAAUUUGGGGCCCAAUUGACAUGAUCUCAGCCUCAUGUAUCGGAGUUUAAAAGGAGGAACCCAUUCGGGACUCACAUUAAACACCAAUGUAAGUCGUGCUGCUAAGGAAGACUUGGCAAUAUGCAGUUCCUUUAAGUUCUUGAGCUUCAAAAAAUGAGCUUCUGUCACCACCCCAAUCCAUGGAUUCCCGGAAAUAUCUAAGACAACAAGAUGAGAUAAUUUCCCCAAACUUUCUGGAAUUGUGCCAUCCAUUUGGUUAUUGUGGAGAUAAAGUUCUCUCAAGGAUGACAAGUUCCCAAUGGACUCCGGGAUUGAACCCCGGAACAAGUUUCCCCACAGUUGAAGAAUCUUGAGGUUUUCCAAUUGUCCGAGAGAAUUGGGAAGAAAUCCACCCAGGUUAUUUUGCCCCAAAUCCAGUGACUCUAAGCUACUAUUGGUACAUUUAGACAAACGAUCUACGAAUUCAAUUAUCUCACCAUCCAAGUCAUUACUAGAAAGAUCAAGAUCCCGCAAGCUGCACAGACUUCCCAAAUCUUUC
RNAcentral lists this long non-coding RNA (12845 nucleotides) under Citrus sinensis (sweet orange). Its description in RNAcentral is "long non-coding RNA (CSIN_LNC000896)". Lineage: Eukaryota; Viridiplantae; Streptophyta; Magnoliopsida; Sapindales; Rutaceae. The record is from RNAcentral.